GGUAGCUCGUCAGGCUCAUAACCUGAAGGCCGCAGGUUCAAAUCCUGCCCCCGCAACCA
RNAcentral lists this transfer RNA (59 nucleotides) under Agrobacterium radiobacter. RNAcentral describes it as "tRNA-OTHER". It matches the Rfam family "tRNA", at positions 17 to 71 of the family's 71-position model. Rfam says of the family: Transfer RNA (tRNA) molecules are approximately 80 nucleotides in length. Lineage: Bacteria; Pseudomonadati; Pseudomonadota; Alphaproteobacteria; Hyphomicrobiales; Rhizobiaceae. The record is from RNAcentral.